GUCCACGCUGUAAACGAUGUGCACUAGGUGUCGGGGGAAUUGACCCCUCCGGUGCCGACGCUAACGCAUUAAGUGCACCGCCUGGGAAGUACGGCCGCAAGGUUGAAACUCAAAGGAAUUGACGGGGGCCCCGCACAAGCGGUGGAGUAUGUGGUUUAAUUCGACGCAACGCGAAAAACCUUACCUGGGCUUGACAUCUGGAGAAUCCCCUAGAAAUAGGGGAGUGCCCUUCGGGGAGCUCCAAGACAGGUGCUGCAUGGCUGUCGU
This 267-nucleotide ribosomal RNA is filed under the name uncultured bacterium. RNAcentral describes it as "partial 16S ribosomal RNA". It matches the Rfam family "Bacterial small subunit ribosomal RNA", at positions 793 to 1055 of the family's 1533-position model. The record is from RNAcentral.